GGUUACUAGAAAAAAAUGCAGUGGUGUUUACAACUGAUUGGUCACAACCAGUUACAGAUUUCUUUGUUCCGUCUCCACUCCCACUGUUUCAUUUUACUAGCCUCAA
This 106-nucleotide small RNA is filed under the name Carlito syrichta (Philippine tarsier). RNAcentral's name for it is "Y RNA (ENSTSYG00000036967.1)". It matches the Rfam family "Y RNA". Rfam says of the family: Y RNAs are components of the Ro ribonucleoprotein particle (Ro RNP), in association with Ro60 and La proteins. The Y RNAs and Ro60 and La proteins are well conserved, but the function of the Ro RNP is not known. The record is from RNAcentral. Lineage: Eukaryota; Metazoa; Chordata; Mammalia; Primates; Tarsiidae.